UCUCUUUUCCGCAUCUGAGGUUGUCGAGUCGGCACCUGAGUGCUGGAUGACAGAAAAAACCUCUGUAGACAGCAAGACCGGUGCUUUUGUAUUCAUUUCUUCAUCCUAUGUUUGCUCCUCUUCAGCAGCUGACAAUUGGCCAAAGGCCAAGAAGCUCAUAUCUUCAUCCUAUGUUUGCUCCUCUUCAGCAGCUGACAAUUGGCCAAAGGCCAAGAAGCUCAUAUGUCUGGACCCAUCCAUCAUCAUCGAUCGAACAGCCUACCAUGAUGCAUCAAUGUACUACAUGAAAAUGACUCCGCCUAGUAUACGACAGAUUAACAGAUUCUGAUAGAUUAACAUGAGAAGCACUAAUGUCAAAGUUACAAAGACCAAGUGAUAGACUUG
Molecule: long non-coding RNA, 384 nt
Filed under: Musa acuminata (dwarf banana)
Lineage: Eukaryota; Viridiplantae; Streptophyta; Magnoliopsida; Zingiberales; Musaceae
Description: long non-coding RNA (MACU_LNC000844)
Source: RNAcentral